GAUGAACGCUGGCGGCGUGCCUAAUACAUGCAAGUCGAGCGAACGGACGAGAAGCUUGCUUUUCUGAUGUUAGCGGCGGACGGGUGAGUAACACGUGGAUAACCUACCUAUAAGACUGGGAUAACUUCGGGAAACCGGAGCUAAUACCGGAUAAUAUUUUGAACCGCAUGGUUCAAAAGUGAUAGACGGUCUUGCUGUCACUUAUAGAUGGAUCCGCGCUGCAUUAGCUAGUUGGUAAGGUAACGGCUUACCAAGGCAACGAUGCAUAGCCGACCUGAGAGGAGGAGCGGCCACACUGGAACGGAGACGAGGUCCGGACUCGUACGGGAGGCAGGAGUAGGGAAUGUUCCACAAUGGGCGAAAGGCGGACGGAGCAAAGCCGCGUGAGUUAUGAAGGUCUUCGGAUCGUAAAACUCUGUUAUUAGGGAAGAACAUAUGUGUAAGUAACUGGGCAGAUCUUGACGGUACCGAAUCAGAAAGCCACGGCUAACUACGUG
This 497-nucleotide ribosomal RNA is filed under the name uncultured bacterium. Its description in RNAcentral is "partial 16S ribosomal RNA". It matches the Rfam family "Bacterial small subunit ribosomal RNA", at positions 28 to 507 of the family's 1533-position model. The record is from RNAcentral.